Camelus dromedarius (Arabian camel) is the source of this 503-nucleotide long non-coding RNA. RefSeq lists it as uncharacterized. The record is from RefSeq and is a predicted model, not a curated record. The transcript is spliced from 2 exons. Lineage: Eukaryota; Metazoa; Chordata; Mammalia; Artiodactyla; Camelidae.
AAAAACGUGGUACGUGGCUGCUGGCGUAGGCUCGAAGGGGCGGGACUAAGCCCUUCACCAACCAAGGAGACUCGGCCUAGUAAACUGAGGGGUGUGGCCAAGGGAGAGAGCCUCUUCCCUUGCGGCCCUGGCGUGUGGUCAGGUAUCUAGGUACCAAGAGCAUCAUCGUUCCAGCACGGAAGUUUAGCGCCCUAGAGGAGCAGGCCACUGGAGCGUCCCUGAGGGCCUGUGGUAAAUCCCCCCUGUCACUAGGCGGCAGUAGAGGACUGAGCAGGACAUGGGGAGGGGUUGAUGACUGCUGAUGGAGAACAGGCCCGGGAAAGGGCUUUGGGACUGCUGUACAUCAGGACUACAGUCUCAGAUCAAAUCACAAAAGAAGGAAACGGUGGCUCACAGAAAAAGAACAGCUUACCCCUGACUAAUAAACAUGAAAAGAAGCGCAAUUCUAUUCAUAAUUAAAUGAAUAAACCUGAAAUAAAAUGAGAUAUUUUCCUACUCUCAAA